This 1606-nucleotide ribosomal RNA is filed under the name Salmonella enterica. RNAcentral's name for it is "partial 23S ribosomal RNA". It matches the Rfam family "Bacterial large subunit ribosomal RNA", at positions 711 to 2215 of the family's 2925-position model. The record is from RNAcentral. Lineage: Bacteria; Pseudomonadati; Pseudomonadota; Gammaproteobacteria; Enterobacterales; Enterobacteriaceae.
AGACCCGAAACCCGGUGAUCUAGCCAUGGGCAGGUUGAAGGUUGGGUAACACUAACUGGAGGACCGAACCGACUAAUGUUGAAAAAUUAGCGGAUGACCUGUGGCUGGGGGUGAAAGGCCAAUCAAACCGGGAGAUAGCUGGUUCUCCCCGAAAGCUAUUUAGGUAGCGCCUCGUGAAUUCAUCUCCGGGGGUAGAGCACUGUUUCGGCUAGGGGGCCAUCCCGGCUUACCAACCCGAUGCAAACUGCGAAUACCGGAGAAUGUUAUCACGGGAGACACACGGCGGGUGCUAACGUCCGUCGUGAAGAGGGAAACAACCCAGACCGCCAGCUAAGGUCCCAAAGUCAUGGUUAAGUGGGAAACGAUGUGGGAAGGCCCAGACAGCCAGGAUGUUGGCUUAGAAGCAGCCAUCAUUUAAAGAAAGCGUAAUAGCUCACUGGUCGAGUCGGCCUGCGCGGAAGAUGUAACGGGGCUAAACCAUGCACCGAAGCUGCGGCAGCGAACGUAUCACCCAAGACAACUUUACGGAGUUGACGAUUGACGGAGCGAAGCGACGUCAAAGCGUUCAUUAAAGUCGAGUUGGCUUAGGGAUACGUUCGUUGGGUAGGGGAGCGUUCUGUAAGCCUGUGAAGGUGGCCUGUGAGGGUUGCUGGAGGUAUCAGAAGUGCGAAUGCUGACAUAAGUAACGAUAAAGCGGGUGAAAAGCCCGCUCGCCGGAAGACCAAGGGUUCCUGUCCAACGUUAAUCGGGGCAGGGUGAGUCGACCCCUAAGGCGAGGCCGAAAGGCGUAGUCGAUGGGAAACGGGUUAAUAUUCCCGUACUUGGUGUUACUGCGAAGGGGGGACGGAGAAGGCUAUGUUGGCCGGGCGACGGUUGUCCUGGUUUAAGCGUGUAGGCUGGUUUUCCAGGCAAAUCCGGAAAAUCAAGGCUGAGGCGUGACGACGAGGCACUACGGUGCUGAAGCAACAAAUGCCCUGCUUCCAGGAAAAGCCUCUAAGCAUCAGGUAACACGAAAUCGUACCCCAAACCGACACAGGUGGUCAGGUAGAGAAUACCAAGGCGCUUGAGAGAACUCGGGUGAAGGAACUAGGCAAAAUGGUGCCGUAACUUCGGGAGAAGGCACGCUGACACGUAGGUGAAGUGAUUUACUCAUGGAGCUGAAGUCAGUCGAAGAUACCAGCUGGCUGCAACUGUUUAUUAAAAACACAGCACUGUGCAAACACGAAAGUGGACGUAUACGGUGUGACGCCUGCCCGGUGCCGGAAGGUUAAUUGAUGGGGUCAGCGCAAGCGAAGCUCCUGAUCGAAGCCCCGGUAAACGGCGGCCGUAACUAUAACGGUCCUAAGGUAGCGAAAUUCCUUGUCGGGUAAGUUCCGACCUGCACGAAUGGCGUAAUGAUGGCCAGGCUGUCUCCACCCGAGACUCAGUGAAAUUGAACUCGCUGUGAAGAUGCAGUGUACCCGCGGCAAGACGGAAAGACCCCGUGAACCUUUACUAUAGCUUGACACUGAACAUUGAGCCUUGAUGUGUAGGAUAGGUGGGAGGCUUUGAAGUGUGGACGCCAGUCUGCAUGGAGCCGACCUUGAAAUACCACCCUUUAAUGUUU